Molecule: ribosomal RNA, 492 nt
Filed under: uncultured bacterium
Lineage: Bacteria
Description: partial 16S ribosomal RNA
Rfam family: Bacterial small subunit ribosomal RNA
Source: RNAcentral
AGUGAACGCUGGCGGUAGGCCUAACACAUGCAAGUCGAACGGCAGCACAGUAAGAGCUUGCUCUUACGGGUGGCGAGUGGCGGACGGGUGAGGAAUACAUCGGAACCUCCUUUUUCGUGGGGGAUAACGUAGGGAAACUUCCGCUAAUACCGCAUACGACCUACGGUUGAAAGCAGGGGAUCUUCGGACCUUGCGCGAUUGAAUGAGCCGAUGUCGGAUUAGCUAGUUGGCGGGGUAAAGGCCCACCAAGGCGACGAUCCGUAGCUGGUCUGAGAGGAUGAUCAGCCACACUGGAACUGAGACACGGUCCAGACUCCUACGGGAGGCAGCAGUGGGGAAUAUUGGACAAUGGGCGCAAGCCUGAUCCAGCCAUACCGCGUGGGUGAAGAAGGCCUUCGGGUUGUAAAGCCCUUUUGUUGGGAAAGAAAAGCAGCAGGUUAAUACCCCGCUGUUCUGACGGUACCCAAAGAAUAAGCACCGGCUAACUUCGUG